This 465-nucleotide ribosomal RNA is filed under the name Vreelandella stevensii. RNAcentral's name for it is "partial 16S ribosomal RNA". It matches the Rfam family "Bacterial small subunit ribosomal RNA", at positions 338 to 795 of the family's 1533-position model. Lineage: Bacteria; Pseudomonadati; Pseudomonadota; Gammaproteobacteria; Oceanospirillales; Halomonadaceae. The record is from RNAcentral.
CCUACGGGGGGCAGCAGUGGGGAAUAUUGGACAAUGGGGGCAACCCUGAUCCAGCCAUGCCGCGCGUGUGAAGAAGGCCCUCGGGUUGUAAAGCACUUUCAGUGAGGAAGAACGCCUGGUGGUUAAUACCCAUCAGGAAAGACAUCACUCACAGAAGAAGCACCGGCUAACUCCGUGCCAGCAGCCGCGGUAAUACGGAGGGUGCGAGCGUUAAUCGGAAUUACUGGGCGUAAAGCGCGCGUAGGUGGCUUGAUAAGCCGGUUGUGAAAGCCCCGGGCUCAACCUGGGAACGGCAUCCGGAACUGUCAAGCUAGAGUGCAGGAGAGGAAGGUAGAAUUCCCGGUGUAGCGGUGAAAUGCGUAGAGAUCGGGAGGAAUACCAGUGGCGAAGGCGGCCUUCUGGACUGACACUGACACUGAGGUGCGAAAGCGUGGGUAGCAAACAGGAUUAGAUACCCUUGUAGUC